GCCCCAUCCUGUUUUUUCGCCGCACGCUCCCCCUCUUUUCUUUCCCGGAACCCAACGCCCUGGGUCAACUCGUCCCCAUCGCGCCGCCGGGUGCCUCACCUCCUCCCUACCCCCAGUCGUGCCUCCUCCGCGCCGCACCGUCGACGCCGCCGUCCGACCUCCUCAUCUCCUCGCUCUCCAUGCGAGGCCACUGCCCCAUCUCCCGAAGUUGCCUCUACCGCCAAAACCGAGGCCACCGCCGCUGCGCCUAUCUAGGUCGACGCGUCUCCAUGCAGCCGCCGCAGCCGCCGUGCUUCCACUCCGCCCCGCAGUCCGCAACCACCUCCCAUCCGCUCCUCUCCAACGCUCGCGCCGCCUCCUCUCCUCCCUCUGCCCAGAUUGGUGGAGGCAAGAUCGAUGGUGGCAUUGGUGGAGGCAAGAUCGAUGGUGGCGUUUAUGAUCCAGAUUGGGGUAAGAGAAGAUCCUUGAUGUAGCGUGAGUAGGCGCCGAAGGGGAACAGAGGGGAGGCCGCGGCCACGAGCAGGGGCAACGAGGAGGGUCGUGCAAGCUAGCUAGGCGGCGGCGCCAUGCGAAGUUUGGCUCCAAGAGGCGGCGUGUGGAACCUGCCAGCCUGGUGCUGCUCGCUGGCCAGCCGACCGCUCCAACCAGGUCGCAAAGGUGUGUCAGGCUGCCACCAUUGAGUUGCUUGCCCUCCCUCACCAAUGUGCGGUACUCUAUGCCCAGAAGAGUUUUGCUGGAUUGCUUGGAUUUUUCUUGAAUGAGAUCCCUUAUUGAAUUGGCCCCAAAUGGAUUGCUCUAGGGUUUAUUGGUCCCUUUUCAUCAGUUUGACUGAGCAAUGAUCGGUUGGCAAGUUAUGGAUUGACCACACAUAUUGGAUGGAUGAUGAGAAGUAAGUCAUGUGCGUAAUAGCCUGUAUCUUUAUCAAAUUAGUUGAUAUAUAUAAGCCCAAGUGUGAUACAGUUAUGCAGAUAUUAAUGAAAAGUUAACCAUCAGGCUAUCAUUGUUGUAAGAAAUAUGUUAACCAUUUUGGUGAUACAGUUAUGCAGAUAUGAUGAGAAAUAAGUUAUGCAGAUAUUAAUGAAAAGUUAACCAUCAGGCUACAUUGUUGUAAGAUACAGUGCAGCCCAACUGUUAUUUUAUAAUGCUAUUUUCCUGGUUUAACAGUUAGUUUGGUUGGCAUCACAUUUCUGGUUUCUGAUCGACAAAUUGUCUGCUUUCAGGUUUCUCAAGUGUUGGGCAUGCUCUCUUCAAUGAUCGGAUUCAAUGCUUGUUGGAACAAACAUAUUUUGUGCACGUGCAGUGCAGGGACAAGCUAAAGAUGGACUCAAAUAGAUCAAUAUUGGAUAUUCAACCUUAUCCACAUGUUUCUUUACGUCCUGAUGAUUCAAAUAGAUUGCUAGAAUUAUGUGGUUCCUGAAUCAUUUUUUAAAAGGUACGAUCCUGAAUUGUUUCAUUAGCAUGCCUCUUUGGUUUAUUUACUGGUGGCUCUGUGACCCCUCUAAGCGUCGAGGAUAUCCCAGUCAUCCACUGUGCAAUGUUCUUAGUAUGUAUUAUUAAAGUAUACAGUAAUACAAAAAAUGGAGCACAAAAGUUGUAAUCGAACCCAGGAGGUCAGGACCUGUUGAGACAGGAGUGCCUAUUAAGGGCAUGUAAUUUUUUCGAACAGGUCUAAUUAAGAGUCUUGUUGCUCAUGUUGGUUCGGUAAGUUAUUAGUACAGUUACAUACUUACCAGAUGAUAGUAUCAAUAUUCAAUACGGCGGUUCACAAUAGAAACAUAUGUUUAAUGUUAAUGAUUUCUCUUACUAUAGGUUAACUUCAUUUUUGUUUGAUUAUCAAGUUCAUGCUAUUUUAUUUUAUUAUGAUCUAAGCUAGCAAAGCAAGUUUGGUUAGCUGGUGUUGCAUUUAUCUGUCUUCAGUUUGUGAUUAUUUUUCAGCUGACUGUUCAAAGGCAGUUGUUGAGCAAAUCUCUGGAAGGGACCACACAUCCUACAUUCAUUUAAGCAACCCAGCUGUUUGUUUUACUCAUUCAGACAUUACUGUUGCACUGGCAGAGCUCCAUGUAUGACAAGGGAACCGGCAAAGUCAGGACUUUAGUUGAAUUUCAGGUUACUUUAGUGGUGAACAUGAUCCUGCCUGGAAGACGGAACAAUUAAGAUACUCGCUAACUGUGAACCUGUUGAAAAUAUAAUUGUAGUUAUUGAAUUAUGUGUAGCAUGCAAACUCCAUUCAAAAAAUUCAAUUGUAGACUUGUGUGACAUUAUGUACUAUUCUAAAAUGAUUUUUAUUGUGUGCAUUAUGUAGAA
Molecule: long non-coding RNA, 2304 nt
Organism: Panicum virgatum (switchgrass)
Lineage: Eukaryota; Viridiplantae; Streptophyta; Magnoliopsida; Poales; Poaceae
Exons: 3
Source: RefSeq, a predicted model, not a curated record